CUAUGCCUUUCCUUGUGGGCUGAUGGACUUAUCCACACAUCCCUAAAGCCUGCUGAGAUCCUCUACCUAACUGUGGCCUAUGACUGGUUCCUCUUUGGGAGGAAGAGUUUGCCAGCCCGGGAUGCAGGCUUCACUCUGGAAGAUAUCUGUAUGCUGAGAGGAAGAGCCAUUCAUUCUCUCCACAGAGCGUGCUCUGGAACCAGCCACAGCCCUCAGAGGACCGCCUGCCUUCCCACCAGGGGCUGGGGGAAGCCAAGUCUUCUAGUUCCUCAUCCUCGAACCAGGAUGGGUAGCAGUCUCCUGGAGGUCCCCAAGCCCAGAUCAGUAGACUAUCCCCUGCCCGGAUCCUCUCUCCACAGACUUUGGCAGCUGGCAGAUGGUAACAGACUGUGGCAGUAUUCAGGAAUGGGCUGUCCUGCACACAGACUCCUCUCUCCCUUUCAGCUUCCCCAAUGA
Molecule: long non-coding RNA, 456 nt
Filed under: Canis lupus familiaris (dog)
Lineage: Eukaryota; Metazoa; Chordata; Mammalia; Carnivora; Canidae
Description: lncRNA (ENSCAFG00030005097.1)
Source: RNAcentral